This 150-nucleotide unclassified non-coding RNA is filed under the name soil metagenome. RNAcentral describes it as "partial internal transcribed spacer 1". The record is from RNAcentral.
CACAACUAUGAAGGUGGGCUGGCAACAGUACUCUGCGAAUACUUUCAACCAUCUUUGCGGACUUUGCUUUCCUGGCGAGUUCGCUCGCCACAGGACCCCCACAUAAACCUUCUGUUUGCAAUCAGCGUCAGUACAAUAAUUGAAUUAUAC